GCAUAAUGGGUCAAUUAAAAGUAUUUGGUGGUAAUUACACGAAACCGUUUGAGCUAACUAGCAACUGGCAUGGCCGUUAAUCUGUAGCAUAAGAUGAAUUGAGUGAUAGUUAGGGGUGAUAGGCCUCCCAAAUCCGGUGAUAGCUUGAUUCUUGCGAAAAGUUUAGUACAACCACAAAUCAGAAGUGACAAGAUUUUUGAUAGUUAUUAAUUUUGGUAAGUAUAGCGUAUUGGCUUAACCGUCGGUAUGUAAAUUAUACAAUUAUGUAUAUUGGGAAUUUAUGGCUAAUAGUAGGAAGUAAAUAACGUUGCGAUUUAUUUAUAAUGUUGAUAUUAGUACCUAACAGGUGUCACCAGUGAACUCGGCGAAAGGGCUUUCAACUGUUUACCAAAAACAUAGCUGUGUGAUAUUACUCACAGUAUUUUCUGCUCAAUGAGUUAUUAAAUAGCCGCAGUACCUUGACUGUGCAAAGGUAGCGUAAUCAGUUGUCUUCUAAUUAAAGUCUCGUAUGAAAGAAUAUAUGGGGGCCCACUUUACCAGUGGCAGGAAGUGAAAUUGAUAAGUGAGUGCAAACGCUCAUAUUACAUAAAAGACGAGAAGACCCUAGAAAUUUUUACGUUAGUUUUUGUUGGGGCAACAUAGUAACAAGUAAUUUACUAUAUGUAUAUGAAAUAUUUUAGGGAGUUUAAAUUACUCUAGGGAUAACAGCAUAAUUUAAAAAAGUUUGUGACCUCGAUGUUGGAUUAGGAAGUUAUAGCUUAAAAGGUUGUUAAUUUUGCUCUGUUCGAGCAACGAUUCCUACAUG
RNAcentral lists this ribosomal RNA (805 nucleotides) under Figuladra appendiculata. RNAcentral describes it as "partial large subunit ribosomal RNA". It matches the Rfam family "Bacterial large subunit ribosomal RNA", at positions 610 to 2602 of the family's 2925-position model. The record is from RNAcentral. Lineage: Eukaryota; Metazoa; Mollusca; Gastropoda; Stylommatophora; Camaenidae.